CCUACGGGAGGCAGCAGUGAGGAAUAUUGGUCAAUGGACGCAAGUCUGAACCAGCCAUGCCGCGUGCAGGAAGACGGCUCUAUGAGUUGUAAACUGCUUUUGUACGAGGGUAAACGCAGAUACGCGUAUCUGUCUGAAAGUAUCGUACGAAUAAGGAUCGGCUAACUCCGUGCCAGCAGCCGCGGUAAUACGGAGGAUUCAAGCGUUAUCCGGAUUUAUUGGGGUUAAAGGGUGCGUAGGCGGUCGGAUAAGUUAGAGGUGAAAUCCCGAGGCUCAACGUCGGAAUUGCCGCUGAUACUGUUCGGCUAGAGAGUAGUUGCGGUAGGCGGAAUGUACGGUGUAGCGGUGAAAUGCUUAGAGAUCAUACAGAACACCGAUUGCGAAGGCAGCUUACCAAGCUACUUCUGACGUUGAGGCACGAAAGCGUGGGGAGCGAACAGGAUUAGAUACCCCAGUAGUC
Molecule: ribosomal RNA, 460 nt
Filed under: uncultured bacterium
Lineage: Bacteria
Description: partial 16S ribosomal RNA
Rfam family: Bacterial small subunit ribosomal RNA
Source: RNAcentral